Molecule: small nuclear RNA, 136 nt
Organism: Rhipicephalus microplus (southern cattle tick)
Lineage: Eukaryota; Metazoa; Arthropoda; Arachnida; Ixodida; Ixodidae
Product: U4 spliceosomal RNA
Source: RefSeq, a predicted model, not a curated record
AACUUUGCGCUGAGGCAGUGUCUAAUCCAAUGAAGUCUCAACUGAGGAGCGAAUAUUGCUAGUUGAAACCAUUGACAAUAUGUAUAUCGCGUACGCACACUCGCAUAAAAGAAAUUUCUUGCGAUGAAGACUUUCU